CCGCGUGGAGGAUUAAGGCCCUCUGGGUUGUAAACUCCUUUUAUCUGGGAAGAAAUGUACUUUUCUUGAGUACUUGACGGUACCAGAGGAAUAAGCACCGGCUAACUCCGUGCCAGCAGCCGCGGUAAUACGGAGGGUGCAAGCGUUAUCCGGAUUCACUGGGUUUAAAGGGUGCGUAGGUGGGCAGGUAAGUCAGUGGUGAAAUCUCCGGGCUUAACCCGGAAACUGCCGUUGAUACUAUUUGUCUUGAAUAUUGUGGAGGUAAGCGGAAUAUGUCAUGUAGCGGUGAAAUGCUUAGAUAUGACAUAGAACACCAAUUGCGAAGGCAGCUUACUACACAAUGAUUGACGCUGAGGCACGAAAGCGUGGGGAUCAAACAGGAUUAGAUACCCUGGUAGUCCACGCCCAAAACGAUGAUUACUCGACAUACGCGAUACACUGUGUGUGUCUGAGCGAAAGCAUUAAGUAAUCCACCUGGGAAGUACGUUCGCAAGAAUG
RNAcentral lists this ribosomal RNA (498 nucleotides) under uncultured Bacteroidota bacterium. Its description in RNAcentral is "bacterial SSU rRNA". It matches the Rfam family "Bacterial small subunit ribosomal RNA", at positions 397 to 896 of the family's 1533-position model. The record is from RNAcentral. Lineage: Bacteria; Pseudomonadati; Bacteroidota.